UCCUCGGCGGCACGGGCGAGGCCCGCGCGCUGGCGGCGCGCGCGGCCGGAUGGCGGGUGGUCACGUCGCUCGCCGGGCGG
This 80-nucleotide transfer RNA is filed under the name Phytohabitans houttuyneae. RNAcentral's name for it is "tRNA-Ala". The record is from RNAcentral. Lineage: Bacteria; Bacillati; Actinomycetota; Actinomycetes; Micromonosporales; Micromonosporaceae.